RNAcentral lists this ribosomal RNA (421 nucleotides) under uncultured bacterium. RNAcentral describes it as "partial 16S ribosomal RNA". It matches the Rfam family "Bacterial small subunit ribosomal RNA", at positions 360 to 774 of the family's 1533-position model. The record is from RNAcentral.
AAUAUUUCGCAAUGGGGGGAACCCUGACGCAGCAACGCCGCGUGAGCGACGAAGGCCNNNUGGUCNUAAAGCUCUGUCAAGAGNGAANAAGUCUAAUAAGCCAAGCCCUAAUUAGGUGACGGUACCACUGAAGGAAGCUCAGGCUAACUACGUGGCAGCAGCCGCGGUAAUACGUAGGGGGCGAGCGUUGUCCGGAAUUACUGGGCGUAAAGGGCGUGUAGGCGGUUAAGUAAGGCAGGUGUGCAAACUCUGGGCUCCACCUAGUGAUUGCACCUGAAACUGCGUAGCUUGAGGGUAGGAGAGGAAAGUCGAAUUCCUAGUGUAGCGGUGAAAUGCGUAGAUAUUAGGAGGAACACCAGUGGCGAAGGCGACUUUCUGGCCUAACCCUGGCGCUGAGGCGCGAAAGCGUGGGGAGCAAACA